RNAcentral lists this unclassified non-coding RNA (281 nucleotides) under uncultured Candida. RNAcentral describes it as "partial contains 5.8S ribosomal RNA, internal transcribed spacer 2, and large subunit ribosomal RNA". The stretch from base 1 to 52 matches the Rfam family "5.8S ribosomal RNA", at positions 103 to 154 of the family's 154-position model. The record is from RNAcentral. Lineage: Eukaryota; Fungi; Ascomycota; Saccharomycetes; Saccharomycetales.
AACGCACAUUGCGCCCUAUGGUAUUCCAUAGGGCAUGCCUGUUUGAGCGUCAUUUCUCUCUCAAAUCUUCGGAUUUGGUUUUGAGUGAUACUCUUAGUCAGACUAAGCGUUUGCUUGAAAUGUAUUGGCAUGAGUGGUACUAGAUAGUGCUGAACUGUUUCAAUGUAUUAGGUUUAUCCAACUCGUUGACCAGUAUAGUAUUUGUUUAUUACACAGGCUCGGCCUUACAACAACAAACAAAGUUUGACCUCAAAUCAGGUAGGACUACCCGCUGAACUUAA